UGCCCAUAUAACACUUGGAAACAGGUGCUAAUACCGUAUAACACUAUUUUCCGCAUGGAAGAAAGUUGAAAGGCGCUUUUGCGUCACUGAUGGAUGGACCCGCGGUGCAUUAGCUAGUUGGUGAGGUAACGGCUCACCAAGGCCACGAUGCAUAGCCGACCUGAGAGGGUGAUCGGCCACACUGGGACUGAGACACGGCCCAGACUCCUACGGGAGGCAGCGGUAGGGAAUCUUCGGCAAUGGACGAAAGUCUGACCGAGCAACGCCGCGUGAGUGAAGAAGGUUUUCGGAUCGUAAAACUCUGUUGUUAGAGAAGAACAAGGAUGAGAGUAGAACGUUCAUCCCUUGACGGUAUCUAACCAGAAAGCCACGGCUAACUACGUGCCAGCAGCCGCGGUAAUACGUAGGUGGCAAGCGUUGUCCGGAUUUAUUGGGCGUAAAGCGAGCGCAGGCGGUUUCUUAAGUCUGAUGUGAAAGCCCCCGGCUCAACCGGGGAGGGUCAUUGGAAACUGGGAGACUUGAGUGCAGAAGAGGAGAGUGGAAUUCCAUGUGUAGCGGUGAAAUGCGUAGAUAUAUGGAGGAACACCAGUGGCGAAGGCGGCUCUCUGGUCUGUAACUGACGCUGAGGCUCGAAAGCGUGGGGAGCGAACAGGAUUAGAUACCCUGGUAGUCCACGCCGUAAACGAUGAGUGCUAAGUG
Molecule: ribosomal RNA, 699 nt
Filed under: uncultured bacterium
Lineage: Bacteria
Description: bacterial SSU rRNA
Rfam family: Bacterial small subunit ribosomal RNA
Source: RNAcentral